AUGUUCUCCCCCAAAUCGAACCCUCCCUAGACCUCCUCCUCGACCGCCGCCGCCGCCCCCUCUGCUGUUGACCACGCCCUCCACCACCACCCCUUUGGUUGACCUGUGCGACCCCAUCGAGAUCUAUGGCGGCGGUGCUUGGAUCUUGGCGUCGCCUCCCUCGAUACGCCUCUGAUGUGCGAGGUCGUCGUCGCCUCCCUCCCUUCGACACCACCACUAGAACUGGUCGAUGAUUCCAGUCGCCUCCAUCUCUUCUUUACGGUCCAUCACGCCGACGAGCAUAGGCGGACUCCCCACCACGGCUUCCUCCCUACCAACGGCGAGCGUGGUGUCCCAUCUCUACUAUGCUGGUACAAUACUUUCCUCAGAUCCGUCUUGGUGGAAACCCGAUGCAGGUGCUAUUAGUGAAAGGAUUGGAGACUGGUUCUAGCAGUGGUUUGUUUGUUCAAGGAAUUCCUGGUGCUCGUGAUUUGUAAAGGGUUUCAGCCAGGGCAAGUAAUUAUCAGCUGAGCAAAGGCUACAACAUGCUAGGAGAAGUUUGAAUGGAGGCAGAGAGUACACUUGGAAAUAGAAUGGAAAAAGGUAGAGGGAUAAUGCUGAAGCACAAGAGCGAGAGGCUAGCAGAAGUUAAAGCAAUAAACUAUAAGCUUUUUGAAUGAUUAGGGCCUCGUGUUGUUGGUAACAUUACAACCACGGGGAAAGCUAAUUUUGGUUGCUAGUUUAGCAUAGAAGCCACCAUAUGCUCAUUUUGGUCGUGUGUUGCAUCCAAAAACAUAUGUAAUUUUCCUUUUGUGGCACAACACCCUAAUAUAUGGGCGUUUCUAGAAACAUAUGUAUUUGGUCGUUAAUUUUAUUGAAUGAAGUUAAGUUUUAUGAUGAGGCCCAUAUGUGAAUUAUGAAAUAGUGUCAUUUGUCUUG
Long non-coding RNA from Triticum dicoccoides, 918 nucleotides. RefSeq lists it as uncharacterized. NCBI's taxonomy places the organism in Eukaryota, Viridiplantae, Streptophyta, Magnoliopsida, Poales, Poaceae. The record is from RefSeq and is a predicted model, not a curated record. The transcript is spliced from 4 exons.